This 323-nucleotide unclassified non-coding RNA is filed under the name uncultured fungus. Its description in RNAcentral is "partial contains 5.8S ribosomal RNA and internal transcribed spacer 2". The stretch from base 1 to 133 matches the Rfam family "5.8S ribosomal RNA", at positions 22 to 154 of the family's 154-position model. Lineage: Eukaryota; Fungi. The record is from RNAcentral.
UGGUUCUGGCAUCGAUGAAGAACGCAGCGAAAUGCGAUAAGUAAUGUGAAUUGCAGAAUUUAGUGAAUCAUCGAAUCUUUGAACGCACAUUGCGCCCCUUGGUAUUCCGAGGGGCAUGCCUGUCCGAGCGUCAUGAACGCCAAUCGAGCCUGUCGUGCUCGGUCUUGGGCCAUGCUGGCGACAGCAGGCCCCAAAGUCAGUGGCGGCACCGUCCGGUCCCGAGCGUAGUACGCACUCUCGCUCUGGGCUCCGGCGGGUCGGCGCCAGCAAACCGUUCUCUGGAACGCUAGGUUGACCUCGGAUCAGGUAGGAAUACCCGCUGA